UUGGGAAUACCGUUGCGCGUC
This 21-nucleotide unclassified non-coding RNA is filed under the name Chlamydomonas reinhardtii. RNAcentral describes it as "small RNA Cre_4001". Lineage: Eukaryota; Viridiplantae; Chlorophyta; Chlorophyceae; Chlamydomonadales; Chlamydomonadaceae. The record is from RNAcentral.